UAACACGUGAGCAACCUGCCUUUCAGAGGGGGAUAACAGUUGGAAACGACUGCUAAUACCGCAUAACGCUGCGAUGGGGCAUCCCGAUGCAGCCAAAGGAGCAAUCCGCUGGAAGAUGGGCUCGCGGCCGAUUAGCUAGUUGGUGGGGUAACGGCCCACCAAGGCGACGAUCGGUAGCCGGACUGAGAGGUUGAUCGGCCACAUUGGGACUGAGACACGGCCCAGACUCCUACGGGAGGCAGCAG
This 245-nucleotide ribosomal RNA is filed under the name uncultured bacterium. Its description in RNAcentral is "partial 16S ribosomal RNA". It matches the Rfam family "Bacterial small subunit ribosomal RNA", at positions 111 to 354 of the family's 1533-position model. The record is from RNAcentral.